UACGAAGGGGGCUAGCGUUGUUCGGAUUUACUGGGCGUAAAGCGCACGUAGGCGGAUCGAUCAGUCAGGGGUGAAAUCCCAGAGCUCAACUCUGGAACUGCCUUUGAUACUGUCGAUCUGGAGUAUGGAAGAGGUGAGUGGAAUUCCGAGUGUAGAGGUGAAAUUCGUAGAUAUUCGGAAGAACACCAGUGGCGAAAGCGGCUCACUGGCCCGGUACUGACGCCGAGGUGCGAAAGCGUGGGGAGCAAACAGG
Molecule: ribosomal RNA, 253 nt
Filed under: uncultured bacterium
Lineage: Bacteria
Description: partial 16S ribosomal RNA
Rfam family: Bacterial small subunit ribosomal RNA
Source: RNAcentral